AGAGUUUGAUCAUGGCUCAGGAUGAACGCUAGCGGCAGGCCUAAUACAUGCAAGUCGAACGGUAAGUGUUUUAGCAAUAAGACACCAAGAGUGACGUACGGGUGCGUAACACGUAUGCAACCUACCCUUUACAGGGGUAUAGCUCGGGGAAACUCGAAUUAACCCCCCAUAAAAUAAUUUAGUGGCAUCAUUGAAUUAUUAAAUCUGAGGAGGUAAAGGAUGGGCAUGCGUCUGAUUAGUUAGUUGGUAGUGUAACGGACUACCAAGACGAUGAUCAGUAGGGGAACUGAGAGGUUGAUCCCCCACACUGGCACUGAGAUACGGGCCAGACUCCUACGGGAGGCAGCAGUAGGGAAUAUUGGUCAAUGGGUGAGAGCCUGAACCAGCCAUGCCGCGUGCAGGAAGAAGGCCUUCUGGGUUGUAAACUGCUUUUGCCAGGGGAUAAAAUUUCCAUGCGUGGAAAAUUGAAGGUACCUGGUGAAUAAGCCACGGCUAACUACGUGCCAGCAGCCGCGGUAAUACGUAGGUGGCAAGCGUUGUCCGGAUUUAUUGGGUUUAAAGGGUGCGUAGGCGGCCCUGUAAGUCAGUGCUGAAAUAUCCCGGCUUAACCGGGAGGGUGGCAUUGAUACUGCGGGGCUAGAGUACAGAUGAGGUAGGCGGAAUUGACGGUGUAGCGGUGAAAUGCUUAGAUAUCGUCAAGAACACCUAUAGCGAAGGCAGCUUACUAGGCUGUAACUGACGCUGAGGCACGAAAGUGUGGGGAUCAAACAGGAUUAGAUACCCUGGUAGUCCACACUGUAAACGUUGAUUACUCGCUGUGUGCGAUAUACAGUACGCGGCCAAGCGAAAGCGCUAAGUAAUCCACCUGGGGAGUACGCCGGCAACGGUGAAACUCAAAUGAAUUGACGG
This 909-nucleotide ribosomal RNA is filed under the name uncultured bacterium. RNAcentral describes it as "bacterial SSU rRNA". It matches the Rfam family "Bacterial small subunit ribosomal RNA", at positions 8 to 916 of the family's 1533-position model. The record is from RNAcentral.